AACAUAUUAUGAGGAUAUCAGUUUAUAUCUUGGUUCCAGGAUUCAAAAAUCAAUUACAUAUACAGUUCAUGUCAAUGGUGUUGUAAGUUCAAGUAACAUUGUUUAUGCAUAUGUCUACUAUUUUUAUGUUACAUUUUUAAAUUUUCAUCCUUAUGUUAUUUGCAUCUGAUAUUGGACAGCCAUAUGGUGAAAUUGAUCCCUCCUUCGCACAACAAUACUCUCAUGAGUUAGAUGAUCAAUGGAAAUUUUUUUGCUGCAACUACAUGUAUUUAGUUACUUGGAAUCGCGAUGUCAAUCAACCUAGACUAACAAAUGGAUGGACAG
RNAcentral lists this long non-coding RNA (324 nucleotides) under Trifolium pratense (red clover). Its description in RNAcentral is "long non-coding RNA (TPRA_LNC009991)". Lineage: Eukaryota; Viridiplantae; Streptophyta; Magnoliopsida; Fabales; Fabaceae. The record is from RNAcentral.